GAUGAACGCUGGCGGCGUGCUUAACACAUGCAAGUCGAACGAAGCACUUUGAUCGAUUUCUUCGGAUUGAAAUUUUAGUGACUGAGUGGCGGACGGGUGAGUAACGCGUGGGUAACCUGCCUCACACAGGGGGAUAACAGUUGGAAACGGCUGCUAAUACCGCAUAAGCGCACAGUACCGCAUGGUACAGUGUGAAAAACUCCGGUGGUGUGAGAUGGACCCGCGUCUGAUUAGCUAGUUGGCAGGGCAGCGGCCUACCAAGGCGACGAUCAGUAGCCGACCUGAGAGGGUGACCGGCCACAUUGGGACUGAGACACGGCCAAACUCCUACGGGAGGCAGCAGUGGGGAAUAUUGCACAAUGGGGGAAACCCUGAUGCAGCGACGCCGCGUGAGCGAAG
This 399-nucleotide ribosomal RNA is filed under the name uncultured bacterium. Its description in RNAcentral is "bacterial SSU rRNA". It matches the Rfam family "Bacterial small subunit ribosomal RNA", at positions 28 to 410 of the family's 1533-position model. The record is from RNAcentral.